UACGGAGGGUGCAAGCGUUGCUCGGAAUCACUGGGCGUAAAGCGACCGCAGGCGGUCUGACAAGUCGGAUGUGAAAGCCCUGGGCUCAACUCAGGAACUGCAUUCGAAACUGGCAGACUCGAGUUCGGUAGGGGAGUCUGGAAUUCCUGGUGUAGCGGUGAAAUGCGCAGAUAUCAGGAGGAACACCGGUGGCGAAGGCGGGACUCUGGGCCGAUACUGACGCUGAGGAGCGAAAGCGUGGGGAGCAAACAGG
RNAcentral lists this ribosomal RNA (253 nucleotides) under uncultured bacterium. Its description in RNAcentral is "partial 16S ribosomal RNA". It matches the Rfam family "Bacterial small subunit ribosomal RNA", at positions 524 to 776 of the family's 1533-position model. The record is from RNAcentral.